This 90-nucleotide transfer RNA is filed under the name Mycosarcoma maydis (corn smut). RNAcentral describes it as "tRNA-Leu for anticodon CAG". It matches the Rfam family "tRNA". Rfam says of the family: Transfer RNA (tRNA) molecules are approximately 80 nucleotides in length. Their secondary structure includes four short double-helical elements and three loops (D, anti-codon, and T loops). Further hydrogen bonds mediate the characteristic L-shaped molecular structure. tRNAs have two regions of fundamental functional importance: the anti-codon, which is responsible for specific mRNA codon recognition, and the 3' end, to which the tRNAs corresponding amino acid is attached (by aminoacyl-tRNA synthetases). tRNAs cope with the degeneracy of the genetic code in two manners: having more than one tRNA (with a specific anti-codon) for a particular amino acid; and 'wobble' base-pairing, i.e. permitting non-standard base-pairing at the 3rd anti-codon position. The record is from RNAcentral. Lineage: Eukaryota; Fungi; Basidiomycota; Ustilaginomycetes; Ustilaginales.
GGCAAGAUGGCCGAGUGGUCUAAGGCGCUGUGUUCAGGAUCUACAUCUCAUCGCAGUCUUCGGGCGUGGGUUCGAAUCCCACUCUUGUCA